RNAcentral lists this long non-coding RNA (731 nucleotides) under Homo sapiens (human). RNAcentral describes it as "HSALNT0253051". The record is from RNAcentral. Lineage: Eukaryota; Metazoa; Chordata; Mammalia; Primates; Hominidae.
AAAGAACCCUGUCCCUCCAUAGAGAUGGCAGGCACUAAUGUCAGAUAUCACAGUAUCCUCCAUAGCAAGGACAGACAGGAGAGAAACCAAUGGGUGGAACUGCAGCACGCAAGGAUGGAUCUGCUUGGCCAUCAGCAGAGAGCACUCAUUCUGCUCUGCGAAUGCACGGCUAGGGUCAAAGCCAGCAGGUCCCUGCAGUGCUGCUUGAGACUCUGUGGUUAGGUCUGAUUCUGUGGGGAAUACAGCGAAGACCUCCUGGCAACAGACCUGAAGCUGCAUUCUGUAACAGCUACAGCAAUAACAAGUUUGAUUUUUUUGUUCCAUGCAAAGUAUAUUCCUUUAAGCAUAUAAAUGCAAAUAUUUGAAAAUUUCAUAGUUAAAGCAUUUGACAUUUCCACUUGUGUGUAAAAAUACUCUUGAAUUCUCUUAAAUUCUUAAAAAUGGUUAAAAAGUUACUAGUUUUCCUGACUUCCAUCAAACUGUCAUCAAAACAUAACAGAGACUUGGAUUUCUGCUUACUUGUCAUUGGCUAGAUGAUAAAAGCGCCUGCUCACACAUCCAGUACACAGAAGGCUCACAGCAUCCAAGUAGGAAAAUAUCUUCAGCAAGAUUUCUGAAGGCAUUCUGCAAAAACAGAAAAAGAAAAAAAAAAUCACCAGAGUGGACCAGGGCUUAAUCUGCAGAUUACCCAGAAAACAACUGGCUGCUCAUCUCUAAAUAGAAGGCCGUAG